This 189-nucleotide non-coding RNA is filed under the name Pseudonocardia sp. The record is from RNAcentral. Lineage: Bacteria; Bacillati; Actinomycetota; Actinomycetes; Pseudonocardiales; Pseudonocardiaceae.
CUGACCCGGUCGCGUGAUGGGCUCCCCGACGACGACGGAACAGGAAGCCGGUGCGAAUCCGGCGCGGUCCCGCCACUGUCACCGGGGAGUGCCCUCCCCACACCGGUGCCACCGCCCGCGAGGGUGGGAAGGCCGGGGAGGGCGUGGGGAUCCGGGAGCCAGGACACUGCCCGUCGUCGCGGAUUCCCA